UAACGCUUGGGAUGGGCCCGCGUCCCAUAGCUAGUUGUUGGGUAACGGCCUACCAAGGCAACGAUCAGUAGCCGGCCUGAGAGGGUGACCGGCCACACUGGGACUGAGACACGGCCCAGACUCCUACGGGAGGCAGCAGUGGGGAAUCUUCCGCAAUGGACGAAAGUCUGACGGAGCGACGCCGCGUGUACGAAGAAGGCCUUCGGGUUGUAAAGUACUGUUGUUGGGGAAGAACGGCUCAAGUGUGAAUAAUGCUUGAGAUUGACGGUACCCAACGAGGAAGCCCCGGCUAACUACGUGCCAGCAGCCGCGGUAACACGUAGGGGGCGAGCGUUGUCCGGAAUUAUUGGGCGUAAAGGGCGCGUAGGCGGC
Molecule: ribosomal RNA, 372 nt
Filed under: uncultured prokaryote
Description: bacterial SSU rRNA
Rfam family: Bacterial small subunit ribosomal RNA
Source: RNAcentral